Molecule: ribosomal RNA, 231 nt
Filed under: uncultured bacterium
Lineage: Bacteria
Description: partial 16S ribosomal RNA
Rfam family: Bacterial small subunit ribosomal RNA
Source: RNAcentral
UUCGUCCUACGGGGCGCAGCAGUAGGGAAUCUUCCACAAUGGACGAAAGUCUGAUGGAGCAACGCCGCGUGAGUGAAGAAGGGUUUCGGCUCGGAAAGCUCUGUUGGUAGUGAAGAAAGAUAGAGGUAGUAACUGGCCUUUAUUUGACGGUAAUUACUUAGAAAGUCACGGCUAACUACGUGCCAGCAGCCGCGGUAAUACGUAGGUGGCAAGCGUUGUCCGGAUUUAUUG